RNAcentral lists this ribosomal RNA (253 nucleotides) under uncultured bacterium. Its description in RNAcentral is "partial 16S ribosomal RNA". It matches the Rfam family "Bacterial small subunit ribosomal RNA", at positions 524 to 776 of the family's 1533-position model. The record is from RNAcentral.
UACAGAGACUGCAAGCGUUAUUCGGAUUCACUGGGCGUAAAGGGUGCGCAGGCGGCCAAGUGUGUGAGGCGUGAAAGCCCGGGGCUUAACCCCGGAAUUGCACCUCAAACUACAUGGCUAGAGCAUUGGAGAGGGUAGCAGAAUUCAUGGUGUAGCAGUGAAAUGCGUAGAGAUCCGGAGGAACACCAGUGGCGAAGGCGACACGCUGGGCCGUACCUGACGCUAAAGCGCGACAGCAUGGGGAGCAAACGGG